GCGUCUGUAGCUUAGGUGGUAGAGCGGAUUGUCCACUAAUCAUAGGGUUGGUGGUUCGAUUCCUGGCCCACAUGAU
This is a non-coding RNA of Ameiurus melas (black bullhead), 76 nucleotides long. Lineage: Eukaryota; Metazoa; Chordata; Actinopteri; Siluriformes; Ictaluridae. The record is from the annotation of a GenBank genome assembly.